CGCUAAGCAAUCUUGAACCUAUUGAAUAUGUCCGAAACAUCAAACCCCACCACCUCCUAGAAUGCAAUGCACAAUCAAACAUAGUACGAGAAGACUUCGAUGGCGAUCAGUACUUGGGCUUGUUGUCGGAGUAUCGCUUGGUCUGGAGCGUCUUCAACAUGGUCUGCAGCCUCAUGGUGAUCUGCGUGAACGAUGGCCGGCUCGAGGGAUCGGCCGACCAGCACUCCUCCAUCAGUUCCCGCCACUCCGGAUCGCACCGCUCCGGUAUAGGCGGCCUCAGCGUGUUGCUCACGAUGCCCCCUUCGUGAAAAUAAUCGAAGAAAAUGGAAAAGGAUCAGUCAUUUUUAAUGGUAUUUAAUCAAGAAUGAGAGCUGCAGGCAUUUUCCAGAAGAUCACACCUAUGAUUGCACCACAAUGCAUGUUGGCAUAAGGUUCUUCGCCGGUCAACAUCUCCCACAUUGCGAUCCCGAAUGAGAAGAUAUCCACCUGAGAGGCACCGCAUUGUGUCACAAGUCUUGAUUAAUCAUGUUAUGUUAUAUGAUGAUCAUGAUUAAUUAUCGCUAACCUUCUCGGAGACGCGGUUGUUAGUACCGUUCAAGAGCUCGGGCGCCAUCCAGGGGAGCGUACCCCGGAUUCCCCCCGACACGAACGUGUUCUGUUUGAUUCUCGACAAGCCGAAAUCUGCCACCUUCGCCAGAAGAAGAAAGAGAUUUCAGACUUCCUUCCAAACCGUUCGUUAAGUUAUGCGAUUAACAGCGUGAUCAUGCAAGUAGAUUCGAGUUGAAGGCUUCAUCAUGCAUGUACCUUGCAAAUCGGUCGACGGGGAUCCUUCAAAUUGACGAGCAGAUUGUCGCACUUCAAGUCGAAAUGGACGAUGUUCUUGAAAUGCAGAUACUCCAUCCCGAAGGCCGCGUCCAUCGCUAUCAUGAGCUUUUUGCGACGGUCCAAAGCUCUGCAAGAUAGAUUAUGUCUAAGCGAGCCGUUAACCAUGAACUCGGCCACCGUCGCCAAUGUCCCACCGGGACCAUCAGGAACAACUCCAUAAAAGGCCACGACGUUGGGAUGAUGAAGAUUCGACAAGAUCUUUGCCUCUCUCCAGAAAUCUUUUGUCUCUCCGAGACUUACCAUGCGCUCUUGCUCAGACGAUCUUCCUGCAAAACAACUGUUCUUGAUUCUUUUGAUGGCAACAUCUGUCCCUCUCCAUUUGCCAUGAUAAACUGUCCCGAAUGUGCCAGAUCCUAAUUCUUGUAGUUCUUCCAGGUCGGCGUUCUUUAUGAUCUACAACAAGAACACACCACAUUUAACCA
Long non-coding RNA from Syzygium oleosum, 1307 nucleotides. RefSeq lists it as uncharacterized. The transcript is spliced from 4 exons. Lineage: Eukaryota; Viridiplantae; Streptophyta; Magnoliopsida; Myrtales; Myrtaceae. The record is from RefSeq and is a predicted model, not a curated record.